AUAGCUCGUACUCCCCGAAAUGCUUUUAGGAGCAGCGUGGAGGUUAAGUCUGUUAGAGGUAGAGCUACCGAUAGGACUAGGGGGAGUCAAAUCCUACCAAAUCCUGACGAACUCCGAAUGCUAACAGAUAUACUCCGCAGUGAGGGCAAGGGUGCUAAGGUCCUUGUCCGAGAGGGAAAGAACCCAGAUCAUCAGCUAAGGCCCCCAAAUGUAUGUUAAGUUGAUCAAACGUUGUGCGAUUGCAUAGACAGCUAGGAUGUUGGCUU
This 266-nucleotide ribosomal RNA is filed under the name Mesodinium pulex. RNAcentral's name for it is "partial Bacterial large subunit ribosomal RNA". It matches the Rfam family "Bacterial large subunit ribosomal RNA", at positions 845 to 1107 of the family's 2925-position model. Lineage: Eukaryota; Ciliophora; Litostomatea; Cyclotrichida; Mesodiniidae. The record is from RNAcentral.